RNAcentral lists this microRNA precursor (84 nucleotides) under Manduca sexta (tobacco hornworm). RNAcentral describes it as "mir-3338 microRNA precursor family". It matches the Rfam family "mir-3338 microRNA precursor family". Lineage: Eukaryota; Metazoa; Arthropoda; Insecta; Lepidoptera; Sphingidae. The record is from Rfam by way of RNAcentral.
CGAGUGUUUCAAAGCAAACACAGUAGUGUGCAAUGCUAAAGUUCCAACAUGCAUGUACUUACUUUGUUUGUUCUGAAAUGUUCU